RNAcentral lists this long non-coding RNA (6557 nucleotides) under Homo sapiens (human). Its description in RNAcentral is "non-protein coding lnc-GPRC6A-2:1". The record is from RNAcentral. Lineage: Eukaryota; Metazoa; Chordata; Mammalia; Primates; Hominidae.
CGGGGCGGGGCGGGGCGGGGCUGGGACCCGGGGCCGCAGGGGCGGGGAAGGAGGCCGCAGGCUCCGGGGUGCCCUGGCUCAGCGCAGAAAGGACGCCGCGCACAGGUACAGCCCAGGCCGCCCGGGAGCCGCGGUGGGCCGCGGUGGGACUGCGUUUCUCCACCUGUCUGCGGUCCCGGCAGAUGCUCCCGCGAAACUCACUUUCUCACCUGCGCCUGUCACGCCCUGGGCGCCCACAGCUUCCCCCUCCUUCCCGUUCUCUCAACCUGCGCUGGCCGGAGGACCGUUUUCACACUCAGAGCUCCCAGAAAGAUCCCGGGAAGGCUCACUGUCUUCUGCAGGGAAAGUGCAGCUGUAACUGGCCCCAUCCCUACUUUCAGGUACACUAUUGGGGCACCUGGCCGCGCGGCGUGGACUCUGCACGCCUGGGACAGGGAAAAAGUACACCGGAGUACCGCUCAGUCUUUGCACAGCAGGGACCGGGCUUUUUAUUCUGGGAACCUUCCGAGGGAUUGGCGAGGGCUCUUCUCAGCAUUUGAGGGAAGAUCCCAUCUCGUCACACACUGCUUUGCUCGAGGGUGCACAGUGGCCCGCACUCCUGGGUCUCCCAGCCCUGGAGGAUCUGGCCUCAACCCCGAGAAAAGAUUCUUUCUCUCCCAUUUACCAUUAUUUUGUAAUUUAAACGCGUCCCUGACGAUUACUCAUCUCAUACCUAGCAGUACGGCAACGGACGUUUGCUUAAGUGAAAAAUGAAAUUGCGACCAUCUUCCAACCCAAAAUGGCAAUCUCAUGGGGGCAAACUAUAAUCUGUGCUCUCUUUAGACGGGAGCGGUCAGUGGAGACUUGGGAUUGGUGUUACCUGACUGCCAGAUCAUCUUCCUUUCCUUCCACCUUCUGUUCUUUUGACAAAUACGCCCAGUGUCUUUAUAUGUCCAGUGCUCUCCAACAAAAGCAAGGAUUCUGCUUUGGAUCACAUUGCCUCAUCACAACCUACAGCAUGUCAUCUUCUCUUGCAGCAUUAGAGAGAGAAAUCAGCCUUCGACUUUGACAAUAUUAAACUACAUUACAUUGAAAUUUAACAUAGAACAAACAAAAUGGGAUCCAAGGUGGUGGGUGGCUGAAGGGUGAAUUAUGGGAAGGAGCGAUACAGUCUAAGUAAUACAGCAAAAGCAGCUAAAAUUAUGAGUGGAUUUGAAUCUCCCCAUUUUUAGUACCACUUGUUGGGAAAGGCAGCAACUCUUUGUCAAAGGUUUUCACCUUAUCUGGUACCUCCAGCAGCUAGAUCCAGGAUGGGGCUACCCACCCCUCCACACUCCUAAAGUGGGUAUACCCCUCCAGUGCUUCAGGACAACUUUGCCAGUUUUCUCUACCCAGUCCUCCGAAAGCCUCAGAGCCUGCUCAGACCAGAGGGCUUAGCUGUAUGUACAGUACUAAAGUUUAGAAUGUUGCCUCUUUACAGAGAUACCCUCAGAUUCAUUCUGUAAAGGGAGUCCCAGUGAUUAACUGUGUCUACUUAUAUGAAAUGAUAAGAAGAAAAAUGUUCAGGAAAAUUACUGGAAUUUCUUUUUUAAAAUACUAACCAUAUGAUAAUGUGUUUGUGUGUGUGUGUGUGUGUGUGUGUGUGUAAGUCAUACAGACACUACGUGAAAAUCUGGCAAUUAUCCAAUUGAACAGAUCAUUGGAAACAAAAACCACGAUCAGUUAAGGCCCUAAGUGAACUUUUUGCCUUAAUUUUAAGUAAAUCUGUUUGCCUAACAAAAUAAUGUGAAAGUUAUUUGUGCUUCUAUUCAAAAAUAGGAAGUCUAAAUAGGCCUAUAGCAAGUAAAUAAAUUUAAUCAGUAAUAAAAAAACUUCCAACAUAAAGAAAACACAUGAUGAGAUAGCUUCAUGAGUGAUUUAUACCAAACGUUUAAAGAAGAAUAAAUGCCAGUUCUUCUCAAACGUAUGGUAUGUGGUGAAAGCAGAGGAGGGGAAAAGCUGUCAAUAUUCUAAAUUUGCUAUUUGUAAUUAUUAUAACUAAUCUGAGCUCAUGAGACUAGUGUUUUAGAAAAGCAGCUCUAGGCAGGAAAAUAGGUAAAAAUGGAGAAUGAUCUUUUAAAAUAGUGAUUUGUAAGAUGUUUAUUUUUUAUAUACUCUUUAAGAAAUUUUUGUAAGCUAUCAACUGUCUCCCAGGGGGAAAAAUGCCCAUGAAUACGCUAAUGUAAAAAUUUCUGCUUACAGUUUAACAGACUGUAAGUAAAAAAACCUGAAAAAGUUUAUUCUGUUUUAAGGAAAAAAAUAAAAACACAUGAUGUCUGAAAGAAGAUUCUUUGAAGUUCCCAAAUUACAGGGUCUUCAUGACUGGAGGCACAAGAGUAAAGGGGAAAGGAAAAGGAAUUUGGAGUCAGGUACAUUUGCACUCAUUCUCUUUGUGCUUCUGGGCAUUUAACCUUUCUGUGCCUGUUUCCUUCUCUCAAAAUUGGAAAAAAAUAGUACAUAUCUAUAGUAGAUUUUGUGGGUGUUCUGCUCAGAUCCCCUUGGAUUUCUUCCACAUUUUCUGAGCACCCCUCACCCUGUUUUUGCCUCCUUUGGUUUCCAAUACCAGCCCCAAGACCACCACCUGAGAGCUCCUGGGACUUUUCUUUGGAGGAACUGCCCUUAGCUACCAGACCACCAUUGCCCAUAGGCAGAUAGAGCCUAGGUGCCCCUGAGUAGCACUUAGCCAAUGACUGAUGGUUGAGAACCUUGAUCUCAUGUUGGAUAAAUCUGAGGUACAACUUACAACCAGAGCUCCUCUAUGGGAUCGGACUGAAACCAUCUCCCACUAGACCAUUCCUAAAAUCCCAUCUGUGUUGGCUUCUUGCCCUCCUCUGUCCUGCUACCCCUACUCCCUUUCCUGUUUCUCCUGGCAACACUUUCUUUAAAUUGCUUUUGUAGAAAAAUACUUGACUCAAGUCCUGCUGACAUAAGACAUCACAUUAUAGAGUUGAUAUAAGCAUCAAAUGAAACAUUAUAAAGAAGAAACUAGUCCAGUGCCUGAAACAGAGUAAGCCUUCAAUAAAACAUAUCUAAUCUUUUUAUUCUGAAACUUUAGAUCUCUUUUAGUUCACAUAAGCAAGGAAAAAAAAUUUCUCUCUUUCACUGCAGAAGAAUUUUGAGGAACAUCUCCUUGCCUAGAUUAUUUCUGGGCAUAGUAUUAUCUGGAGUGAUCAUAUACUAUGAAAUUUUCUUCUGUGAAAGUUCAUGUCUCUCCUAAUUUGUUUUUCUGUUCACCAAAAUUAUUUUAUAAAUACGGCAAGUACUUUGCUUUCUGUUAAUGAAUUUCAUUUUGUUUCUUUCAAAUAAAAGUAAAGUGAGGUUAUGAACCUAACAGCAGAGCCCCAAAAUACACGAAGCAAUAAAUACCAUUUUUUGAUAAAGGUACUAACACCAUUCAGUGGAAAAAGAUAUAUAGCCUUUUCAAUUAUAUAACCACAUCUAAAAGAAUGAGUUUGGAACCCUACUUCACACUAUAUACAAAAAUAAAAAUGGUUCAAAGACCUAAAUAUAAGAGCUAAAACUGUACAACUCUUGGACUAAAACCUUGCCUUAAGUCUUUAUCACCUGGGAUUAGGCAAAGGUUUAUUGAAUGUGAUACAAAAAGUACAAGCAAUAAAAGAAAAAAGGUAGAUAAACUGAACUCCACCAAAAUGCGUGCAUCAAAAAACACUAUCAAGAAAAUGAAAAGACAACACACAAUGGACAAAUAUUUUAAAAUCGUCCAUCAGAAUAUAUAAAGAACUCUUACAACUCAACAAUCAAAAGACAAUAGCCCAAUUUAAAAACAUGUAAAAGAUUUAAAUAGACAUUUCUCCAGAUAAGAUAUAUAAAUGGCUAAUAAGCACAUAAAAUGCUCAAUAUCAUUUUCAUUAGGAAAAUGCAAAUCAAAACCACAAUAAGGUAUCACUUCACACCCACUAUAAUUUUUUAAAAAUGAUAAUGAGGUUGUGGAGAAAUUGGGACCUUCAUACAUUGCUGGUAGGAAUGUAAAAUGAUACCACCACUGUGGAAAAUAGUUUCACAGUUCCUCAAAAAGUUAAACAUAUGAUCCAGUAAUUCUGUUCCUAGGUAGAUACUCAAGAGAAUUGAAACAUAAAUUCAUACACAAAGCUUGUGUAAAAAUGUUUAUAGCAACAUUAUGCAUAAAAGUUAAAAAGUCAACACAACCAAAAUGUUCAUCAGCUGUUCUAUACAUAAACGCAAUGUGGUAUAUCCAUACAAGGGAAUAUUAUGCAGUCAUUAAAAAACAGUGAAGCUGAGGCUGACGGAUUGCUUGAGCUCAGGAGUUUGGGACCAGCCCGGGCAACAUGUCAAAACCCCAUCUCUACUGAAAAAUACAAAAAUUAGCUGGGCAUGGUGGUGCAUGUCUGUAAUCCCAGCUACUCAGGUGGCUGAGCUGAGAUCGCAGCCACUGCACUCUAGCCUGGGCAACAGAGCAAGAUUUUGUUUCAAAAAAAUAAAACGAAACAAAACAGUGAAGCAAUGAUACAUGCUUCAAUAUGUAUGAACCUUAAAAACAUCAUGUCAAGUGAAAUAAGCCAGAUAUAAAAGGCUACAUAUUGUGUGAUCCAUUUACAUGUAAUGUCCAGGAUAAGCACAUCCAUAGAGACAGAAAGUAGAUUAAUGGGUUUGCCAGGGGUUAGAAGUAGGGGAAAUGAGAUGUGACUCCCUAAUGUGUAUGGGGUUUCUUUUUUGGAUGACAAAAAUGUUUUGGAUAGUGAUGAUGGUUGUACAAUAUUAUGACUGUACUAGAAGCCACUGAGCUGUACACUUCAAGACGGUUAUAAUGAUGACUUCUGUGUGAAUUUUGCCUCAAUAAAGUAAAUUUUUUUUAAAUAAGAAAGGCCAGAUUUUUUUUGCAAUGGAGUCUUGCUCUGCUGCCCAAGCUGGAGUGCAGUGGUGAGAUCUCGGCUCACUGCAACCUCUGCUUCCCGGGUUCAAGCAAUUAUCCUGCUUCAGCCUCCUGAGUAGCUGAGACUACAGGCACACACUACUGCACCCAGCUAAUUUUGUAUUUUUAGUAGAGAUGGGGUUUCACCAUGUUGGCCAGGCUGGUCUUGACCUCCUGACCUCAAGUUAUCCACCCCCACUCGGCCUCCCAAAGUGCUGGGAUUACAGGUGUGGGCCACUGCACCCAACCAGAUUAUUUUUAAAAAUUAAGAAUCUGCUUACCAGGUAAGAAUUACUACUUAGUCCAAAACUUUGCUGUGGAAGAAAUUUAUAAAAUUUCGACAAAUUUUCCAGGCUUGUUCUUAAAAUAUGAACUAUCAGUUUUCCUGUUAUCAUAUAAACAUCAACAGAUUAGGUCUGCAUUCCUUCUUCAAGUCUAAUUUCCUCCUCCUUCAAUCUUGGUUGUGCCAUAUGUUUUUCCUUAUUGCAUGUAGGAUAAUAGAGAAGUAACGGGGGAAAUGGAAAAUGAAGAGGAGAGAUGAAGAAAAGGAAGGAUCAAUAAAUGGCUGAGAGGAUUGAGGGAGUCAAUUAAAAAAGAGAGAAAGGUAAAUAAAAUAUAUUCAGUUGGUUAUGAUUUAGGAGACCGAGUUGAUGGGUCCAGUUUCUGUGUGGGCAGAACCAUUCUUUUUUCCAUAACUGCAUACCAAUGUAAAAGACAAAUUAAUUUGGGGAAAAUCCAGGAAAGGAAUCCCAGUUGGUCAGGGAUCGGAGUCAGAAAGGUAGUAUGUGGUUGGAAAUGGGGAGAGUGACAGGUACUAAUGUUAUUGAAAGGAAGAAUCAGUAUAGCCUGGCGACAAAUGGGGAGGUCUUGCAUGGAAAGAAAAAGUUAUUUCCUAGAUUGCAAUCUUUAGGAAGUAUCAAGAAAAAUAAAAAGUACUUUCUAUGUAAUUAAUUUCUCAGUUGGUUGUUUUGACUUUAUACCAGAACUCACUAUCAGCACUGACAAUCACAAUUGUCAGACAAUUUCCUGAACAACUAUCUCUUCUAUCUCCAUCAUUCUAAAGAUAGACAUGUCUUUUAAGCCCAAGACAGGAACUUCAGCUUGAAUUGGGGCCCAGAGCUGGCAAUUUAACCCUGAACCAGAAGUGUCUUUAAUGAGAAUGUGUGCUGUUGAAACCCGUUUAGGUUUGUAAACAUUUCCUUCGAUUUUCCUUAGGGCUGUGAUGAGAUAUUCUUCUUCCCUUGUACCUCUUCAUACAAUAAACCUUAAUGAGUGACGGAUUCAAAUAGGCUCAUUUCUUAUUUGAUAUGUGAUUUUGAAAAGUAAAAGUGUUAGGAUAGAGAGUGUAAAGGAGCUUAUUACAUUACUCUCUUUUUUUAAAUAUAUAUAUAUUUUUUAUUAUACUUUAAGUUCUGGGGUACAUGUGCACAACAUGCAGGUAACAGAGAAUACUUGGACACAGGAAGGGAACGUUACAUUACUCUCUUUUUAAAAAAGUUAUUUCAAAAUAAAAAUUUUGAAGCUGAGUUUUUUUUAAUUGUUAGUAAAAGUUAACUUAUGAUUGUUUGUAAAUAGAAGAUAUUUAUAUAAUUCUAGGGAUGCAAAUAUAAUCAUAAAAUAUGUUAAAGCUUGGGAAAUGUAUGUUUAU